Molecule: ribosomal RNA, 251 nt
Filed under: uncultured bacterium
Lineage: Bacteria
Description: partial 16S ribosomal RNA
Rfam family: Bacterial small subunit ribosomal RNA
Source: RNAcentral
UACGGAGGGAGCUAGCGUUGUUCGGAAUUACUGGGCGUAAGCGCACGUUAGGCGGCUAUUCAAGUCGGGGGUGAAAGCCCGGGGCUCAACCCCGGAACUGCCCUCGAAACUAGAUAGCUAGAAUCUUGGAGAGGCGAGUGGAAUUCCGAGUGUAGAGGUGAAAUCGUAGAUAUUCGGAAGAAUACCAGUGGCGAAGGCGACUCGCUGGACAAGUAUUGACGCUGAGGUGCGAAAGCGAUGGGGAGCAAACA